GGUCAAAUCCCUGCAGCAAUGAACGGAUUAUGCAUAUAGCCAGAAGCAGUUCCUUGACCCUCCAUUGAACCUAAGUCCUAGGCGCUGUUUUGGACCUGGGCCACGGCAGGUCCAGCAGGUCAGUGCCCUGUGGAUGUCAGUGUCCCUCGCUGCCCUGGGAAUGGGCUUGUGGCCACGUAGGAGCCUGAGACAAGGACAGCUGCCUAACCUGUAGCCACCACUUCUCAUGGAACCCACUUUGGUAGCCUCCCAAUUGGCCUCCAGUCUCUGCGAUCCACCCUCCACAAGCUUCAAAAACCAACUCAGCGGAUCACUCUUGGAUUCUUUAUAACAUUAGGGCCUUUCUUUUUUCUCCAGAAUAAAACAGAAUCCCCUCAUGCUGGCAUUUCAGGCUUUUCCCCUCCCAAUUUCAUCGAUGGAGAGGCCCUCUCUUAAGUCAGAAUGGCUUCCUUUUGGUCCCCGCAGGCCAGGAGGAGUCACUAGAUCUCUCUGGGCUGUAGUCAACUCUCCAAGAAUACAGGGGGUAAAGAAGUUGCCUAGAUCCGUGGAUUCCCAGAUUCAGCCCCGGUUCCUUAUAUAUAUUUCUACCUUGUUUGACACAUAAAAAAGCAAGAAAAAAACAAAUUGAAAAAAACUAUUUGUUCGCGCAUCAGGCGCAACUUGCACCCAAGUUCAUCGGUUUUCUUUUGGAGGUGGAUAAUAUUGUUUUCCAACCCGAGUCCUCUGGAGUUUCUUGGAAGAUGGCAUCGAUGAGAGGGGCUCCUCGUUACAAUGUGGGGGUUAAUGUGUACGAGGGCCCGGCUCUGCUCGCUCUCCUCCGCCUCGGCCCGCCCUUCAUCAC
This 841-nucleotide long non-coding RNA is filed under the name Sarcophilus harrisii (Tasmanian devil). RNAcentral describes it as "lncRNA (ENSSHAG00000031123.1)". Lineage: Eukaryota; Metazoa; Chordata; Mammalia; Dasyuromorphia; Dasyuridae. The record is from RNAcentral.